AAUCGUCUCAGAAAGGAGCCACCUUUCUUCAGAAGCAAGAAACACAAUUUCUAGGGUUUCUCUCUUCCGUUUCCGAGAAAGCACAGCGUUGGUUGUUGCUGCUUUGUACCAUGGAUGCCGUGGAGAAAUUGGAGCGCUUUUCACUGGUUUCCAAGGUAUGUACCGAGUUGGAAUCUCAUAUCGGAACCGGCGAUAAGAUUCUCGCCAAAUUUAUUAUCGAUUUGGGUCACUCGUCGGAGUCUGUUGAAGAUUUCGGUUCCAAAUUGAAGAAAAAAGGGGCUGAGAUGCCGGAUUAUUUCGUUCGAUCUCUUCUUACUGUUAUUCAUGCUAUUCUUCCUCCUAAACCUAACCAGGAGAAGGAGAAGAAGAAUCCGACGAAGGAGUACGCUUCCUCAAAGACUAAGUUUAAGGCAUUGGCGAUUUCAGAUGAUAGGGAUCGGGCUAAGGAGCUUUGGAAUGAGAUUGAAGCUGAGGCUGGACAGAAACAGAAGCAGAUGGAACCAGACAGGUAUGAAAAAGGUGCUAGGCGUGAAAGAGAUGAUAGAAGGGGGGAUGAUAGAGAAAGAGGAAGAUACAGAGAUGAUAGGCGCGGAAGAGAUGAUAGAAUGGGGAAUGAUAGAGAAAGAGGAAGAGGCAGAGAUGUUAGGCGCGGAAAAGAUGAUAGAAGGGGGAAUGAUAGAGACCGAGAUAGGUACCAAAAUAAAAGGGGGAAUGAUAGGGAUAAAUAUGAGAGGCGGAGGAGAGAUGACUAUGAAGAUGGAAGGGAAGAGAAUAUUGAUGAGAAAGGUUGUAAAGAAAGAAAUUUGAGGCGUGAUGGAUCCGGUGAACCUGAGUUGUAUAGGGUUUAUAAAGGAAGAAUUUCUCGGGUGAUGGAUACUGGGUGUUUUGUGCAGUUGGAUGAUUUAAGAGGGAAGGAGGGUUUGGUUCAUGUUUCUCAGAUGGCUACUAGGAAGAUUAUUAAUACUAAGGAAGUUGUUAAAAGGGAUCAACAGGUUUAUGUGAAGGUGAUUUCAGUUUCUGGUUCUAAGUUGAGUCUUUCUAUGAGGGAUGUUGAUCAGCGUACCGGGAAGGAUCUUCUUCCAUUGAAGAAGAGCUCGGAGGAGGAGGCUUUUAGGAUAAAUCCACAAGAUUCGAGAGAUGGGCCGGUGACUAGGACAGGGCUUUCUGGGAUCAGGAUUGUGGAGGAGGAUGAUAUUGGUUCUACGCGCAGGCCGCUAAAGAGAAUGAGCUCUCCUGAGAUAUGGGAAGCAAAACAGUUGAUUGCUUCAGGGGUUUUGAGUGUUUCGGAGUAUCCGACUUAUGAUGACGAGGGAGAUGGAGUGAUGUACCAAGAGGAAGGCGCCGAGGAAGAGCUUGAGAUUGAGAUGAAUGACGAUGAACCCGCCUUCUUGCAAGGGCAGAGCAGGUACUCAAUGGAUAUGUCUCCUGUCAAGAUCUUUAAGAAUCCAGAAGGUUCUCUGGGUCGUGCUGCUGCGCUCCAAUCUGCGCUUAUAAAGGAGCGUAGGGAAGUAAGAGAACAGCAGCAGCGUACCAUGCUAGAUUCAAUUCCAAAGGAUCUCAAUCGUCCUUGGGAGGACCCUAUGCCAGAGUCCGGUGAAAGACAUCUUGCCCAAGAGUUGAGGGGUGUCGGCCUAUCGGCCUAUGAUAUGCCAGAAUGGAAGAAAGAUGCCUAUGGGAAAGCCAUUACUUUUGGGCAAAGGUCAAAGCUUUCUAUUCAGGAACAGAGGCAGAGUUUGCCAAUUUACAAGUUGAAAAAAGAAUUGAUUCAGGCCGUCUUAGAUAAUCAGACCUUGGUUGUGAUUGGUGAAACUGGUUCAGGUAAGACUACACAGGUCACACAGUAUCUUGCUGAAGCAGGUUACACCACCAGAGGUAAAAUUGGAUGUACUCAACCCCGUAGAGUGGCUGCAACGUCCGUUGCAAAGAGAGUUGCAGAAGAGUUUGGGUGUAGAUUAGGAGAGGAAGUUGGUUAUGCCAUUCGAUUUGAGGAUUGCACUGGACCUGAUACUGUAAUCAAGUACAUGACUGAUGGUAUGCUUCUUAGGGAAAUUUUGGUUGAUGAGAAUCUGUCACAGUAUUCUGUUAUCAUGCUUGAUGAAGCCCAUGAGAGAACUAUUCAUACUGAUGUUCUUUUUGGACUGCUCAAGCAGCUGGUGAAGCGGAGACCUGAGCUGCGAUUGAUUGUUACAUCUGCUACUCUUGAUGCUGAAAAAUUUUCAGGAUAUUUCUUUAACUGUAACAUCUUCACAAUUCCUGGGAGAACUUUUCCCGUGGAGAUACUUUAUACCAAACAGCCAGAAAGCGAUUACUUGGAUGCGUCUUUGAUCACUGUUCUACAGAUCCACUUGACAGAACCUGAAGGAGACAUUCUUCUCUUCUUAACUGGUCAGGAGGAGAUUGAUUUUGCUUGUCAGUCUCUCUACGAGAGAAUGAAAGGAUUAGGUAGGGAAGUUCCAGAGCUGAUCAUUUUACCUGUUUACAGUGCACUUCCUAGUGAAAUGCAAUCUAGAAUAUUCGAUCCCGCUCCUCCUGGGAAAAGGAAAGUGGUUGUUGCUACUAACAUUGCUGAAGCUUCUUUGACUAUUGACGGGAUAUUUUAUGUUAUUGAUCCUGGUUUCGCUAAGCAAAAUGUUUAUAACCCGAAACAAGGUCUUGAUUCCUUGGUGAUAACUCCAAUAUCACAAGCCUCAGCCAAACAAAGAGCUGGACGAGCAGGGCGUACUGGACCUGGAAAGUGCUAUCGCCUCUAUACUGAGAGUGCAUAUAGGAAUGAGAUGUCACCUACUUCUGUUCCAGAGAUUCAAAGGAUAAAUCUGGGCAUGACUACUCUUAGCAUGAAAGCCAUGGGCAUAAAUGAUCUUCUGUCAUUUGAUUUUAUGGACCCACCAUCACCCCAAGCACUUAUUUCUGCCAUGGAGCAGCUUUACAGUCUUGGAGCAUUGGAUGAAGAGGGCCUGCUAACCAAAUUGGGGAGGAAAAUGGCUGAAUUUCCUCUAGACCCACCACUGUCCAAGAUGCUACUUGCCAGUGUUGACCUUGGAUGCAGUGAUGAGAUAUUGACCAUAAUUGCCAUGAUCCAAACCGGCAAUAUAUUUUACAGGCCCAGGGAGAAACAGGCCCAAGCAGAUCAGAAAAGGGCAAGAUUUUUCCAGCCAGAGGGUGACCAUCUUACAUUACUUGCUGUUUAUGAGUCCUGGAAAAAUAAAAACUUUUCUGGCCCCUGGUGUUUUGAGAAUUUUGUUCAAUCUCGAUCUUUGAGAAGAGCCCAGGAUGUAAGGAAACAACUUCUCACCAUCAUGGAUAAGUACAAAUUGGAUGUUGUGAGUGCUGGAAAAAACUUCACGAAGAUUCGGAAGGCUAUUACUGCUGGGUUCUUUUUUCAUGCAGCUAGAAAGGACCCCCAAGAAGGUUAUAGAACACUAGUUGAGAAUCAGCCUGUAUAUAUCCAUCCAAGUUCAGCUCUGUUCCAGAGGCAGCCAGACUGGGUCAUAUACCAUGAGCUUGUAAUGACAACGAAGGAAUAUAUGCGUGAGGUCACAGUCAUAGACCCCAAGUGGCUUGUUGAAUUGGCUCCAAGAUUCUUUAAAGUGGCAGAUCCUACAAAGAUGAGCAAACGAAAGCGUCAAGAGCGUAUUGAACCACUUUAUGAUAGAUACCACGAGCCUAAUUCAUGGCGUUUGAGUAAACGCCGUGCAUGAUAUGCCUUUGUCAGUUACUCUUAAUGCAAGGUUAUAGAUACAAUUUAUGUUGGAUUUAGUAUUAAACCGCAAUGUCAAGACCCCCCUCAUUCUGAUAUUUGAUUUAAACAAGGGUUACAUAAUCUUAGGGAAAUGUUGGACACUUUGUCUUGGAGGUAUGUUAUGUUUUAUAUAAGAUUGAAAUAGAAUUAUCUUGAACAGGAUUUGAAAAAUGCUAUGACUACUUUGCCGGAAAAUUGUCGAAAGGAGUAUGUCAAAACUGCUAAUGAAUUGGUUGAUUACUUGACUGAGGUAUAUAUGUAUAUUACAUGCUUAGCUUUUGGUAAUUCGAUUAAUGAAUUCAACUAUAUGUUUUUUUUUUGAAACUAUUGGCAUAAAAUUUGUGUUUUGGUAUUGUGAUUUUUGGUGUUUCUUUUUUCAGAUGGAUCGUUAUGUUCAAUCGCCAAAGAUAUAUGAAUCGUACUUAUAGAUGAACCAUAUGAGAAGACAUUGAAAUCAAUAGAUGAACUUGUAGCUAUGUUAGCAUAGUAAAAAGUUUCAGCAGGUUGGUUUUGGUUUAAUAACAAUAAACAUUUUCUAAUAACAAUAAUGUAGCCAACAACAUUAGAUAUAGGAACCAAGCCUUAGGGUAACCAACUGUUUUCAAAUAUUAUAUUUCACUCUAACCUCUAGAUAUCCUUUUUUAUAUGUGUUUUUGCUGCAGCCAUUACACUUUCAACGAGGAAACAGUUAUACACUCCAAUACAUAUCACUAAACUGUAUUAGUUUUGUUAUAAACAUUUCUUCAAUCCAUAAACAAUACUUGAUUCUGAGCUAUGGUGUAGGUUUACUCUAACUGUAUAUGUUACUUUUUAAAUUCUGCAAUGCCCUUGGAACAUAUUAGUUUCAACAUGUUCUGUUUGAAUUCUACAGAUCUUAAGUAAAUGUAUUGUGGCCGAGUCUAUAAGGUCUGUAUCUUCUAAUGUAGAGUUUCCCCCCUUGAUAA
RNA transcript from Vicia villosa (hairy vetch), 4683 nucleotides. It is a transcript of the gene named probable pre-mRNA-splicing factor ATP-dependent RNA helicase DEAH5, with no coding region annotated. The transcript is spliced from 3 exons. Lineage: Eukaryota; Viridiplantae; Streptophyta; Magnoliopsida; Fabales; Fabaceae. The record is from RefSeq and is a predicted model, not a curated record.